This 245-nucleotide ribosomal RNA is filed under the name uncultured prokaryote. RNAcentral describes it as "partial 16S ribosomal RNA". It matches the Rfam family "Bacterial small subunit ribosomal RNA", at positions 524 to 768 of the family's 1533-position model. The record is from RNAcentral.
UACGGAGGAUGCAAGCGUUAUCUGGAUUUAUUGGGUUUAAAGGGUGCGCAGGUUGUUUGAUAAGUCAGUGGUGAAAGUCUGUCGCUUAACGGUAGGAUUGCCAUUGAUACUGUUAGACUUGAAUAUGGAUGAGGUAGGCGGAAUGUGUAGUGUAGCGGUGAAAUGCAUAGAUAUUACACAGAACACCGAUUGCGAAGGCAGCUUACUAAUCCAUCAUUGACGCUGAGGCGCGAAAGCGUGGGGAU